ACGCGCUGCCUUUGAACCUGUGAGUUGCCCCAGUGGCCUCGCUGGCCAAGCAGCAGCGCAAGAGCAAUGGGCUGGUUAUAACUGGUGCGUCUCAGCCCGCCCUGAGCUGCGCUUUUAACUACCCGCUACAGUU
Molecule: small nucleolar RNA, 133 nt
Organism: Xenopus tropicalis (tropical clawed frog)
Lineage: Eukaryota; Metazoa; Chordata; Amphibia; Anura; Pipidae
Source: Ensembl